AUGGCUCAGGAUGAACGCUAGCGACAGGCUGACACAUGCAAGUCGAGGGGCAGCAUAAAAGUAGCAAUACUUGGUGGCGACCGGCGCACGGGUGAGUAACGCGUAUGCAACCUACCUAUCAGAGGGGAAUAACCCGGCGAAAGUCGGACUAAUACCGCAUAAAACAGGGGCACCGCAUGGUGAUAUUUGUUAAAGAAAUUCGCUGAUAGAUGGGCAUGCGUUCCAUUAGGUAGUUGGUGAGGUAACGGCUCACCAGGCCGACGAUGGAUAGGGGAACUGAGAGGUUGGUCCCCCACACUGGUACUGAGACACGGACCAGACUCCUACGGGAGGCAGCAGUGAGGAAUAUUGGUCAAUGGGCGGGAGCCUGAACCAGCCAAGUCGCGUGAAGGGAAAGGAGGAUCUAUGGUUCGUAAACUUCUUUUGCAGGGGAAUAAAGUGCAGGACGUGUCCUGUUUUGUAUGUACCCUGAGAAUAAGGAUCGGCUAACUCCGUGCCAGCAGCAGC
RNAcentral lists this ribosomal RNA (507 nucleotides) under uncultured bacterium. RNAcentral describes it as "bacterial SSU rRNA". It matches the Rfam family "Bacterial small subunit ribosomal RNA", at positions 19 to 518 of the family's 1533-position model. The record is from RNAcentral.